Molecule: non-coding RNA, 862 nt
Filed under: Pan troglodytes (chimpanzee)
Lineage: Eukaryota; Metazoa; Chordata; Mammalia; Primates; Hominidae
Source: RNAcentral
GCUGCUGGGAUACCGGAGGACUCGGGUCCCGGCUCGACUCAGUCUUCCAGCCGCCCGGGGAAUACCUCUAGUUCUUCCCGGCCGCCGCCGCCUCCGCCCCGCCGCUUCCUCCUCCGCCGCCGGCCUCCUUCGCCCCGCCCGUCCGCGCAGCGCGUCCGGCCCGCCCGCAGGCCAGCUUCUCUCGGGAGCCCCCACCCAGGCUCAUGGCUCCAUGAAGCAAGAGGAGGAGGCAGAGCGCGAGAGGUCCGUCCGCCCCAGCCGCGUCUGGGCCAGGAGAAAAGCAAAACCAUAUUCCUGCUGCUGUCAGUUAUGAUGCACUGAGAAAACUUCAGAGACCUAAGCUUUUUCCAGAGAAGAGAAGCUUUACUGGUGUUCCAGCCCUAAGAAACCUUUGUUCAACAAAACUGCAGAUGCUCUGUUGAAUCCACUGGAGAUUGUCCUCAUACUAAGGACAAGUAUCAACCAUCUUUCCUGUGAAAAAUUCCCUCUCCUAGUACUUUAGUUCUGUGGAUCCAAAAUUUAUAGCAUUCUUCUACCACCACAGGGGCUCAUAUGACAUUAACAGACAAGACACUUUUCAGAAAGACAGGCAACGUGUUGGACCUUCCUGAGCUUCUCAGAAGACAGAGGAUUUUCUUUUGAGGUAAAUUUGAUAGUGCAUUUUGAUAGUACAGGAGGCGAUACGGCAUGGUGACAGAAAAGCGCCAGCUUGGUUAGCAGGACCACCUGGCAGGGCUGCAGGCUGUGCCACUUACCAGGCAGGGGACUUUGGGCCAGCUGCUUGGCCUCACUCACCCUGUUUCCUCAGCUGCAAUUGGGAUGAAUAGACUGCCUGCUUCGGGGUUGCCUAAAACUCACAUUG